UACAGAGGGUGCGAGCGUUAAUCGGAAUUACUGGGCGUAAAGCGUGCGUAGACGGUUAUUUAAGUCGGAUGUGAAAGCCCCGGGCUCAACCUGGGAAUUGCAUUCGAGACUGAAUAGCUAGGGUGCGGUAGAGGGAAGCGGAAUUUCCGGUGUAGCGGUGAAAUGCGUAGAUAUCGGAAGGAACAUCGGUGGCGAAAGCGGCUUCCUGGACCAGCACCGACGUUCAGGCACGAAAGCGUGGGGAGCAAACAGG
RNAcentral lists this ribosomal RNA (253 nucleotides) under uncultured bacterium. RNAcentral's name for it is "partial 16S ribosomal RNA". It matches the Rfam family "Bacterial small subunit ribosomal RNA", at positions 524 to 776 of the family's 1533-position model. The record is from RNAcentral.